RNAcentral lists this long non-coding RNA (264 nucleotides) under Trifolium pratense (red clover). RNAcentral's name for it is "long non-coding RNA (TPRA_LNC000774)". Lineage: Eukaryota; Viridiplantae; Streptophyta; Magnoliopsida; Fabales; Fabaceae. The record is from RNAcentral.
CAACCCCACCCCCUCCAAUGUAGUUUUCUUCAAAUUCACCAUUAACACCACAUGCAUGCUUAGGAUUCAAGAAGAAUAAACACCUUCUACCUUAUUAACAAGUUUAGUGAAGAAGAUUAUACAUUGGGUCUGCCGUUAAGAAGUCCCACAUCGGUUGCGAGAUGGCCUGACUAAGUGUUUAUAUACUAGAGGCAAUCCUCACCUUACAAGCCGGUUUUGUAAGGAUGAGUUAGGCCCAAUACUCAUUUCUAAGAUGGUAUCAGA